GCAAGCCGACCAUACCAUCUUUGCUGCGGAGGAACCUACAUGUGAAAAAAGAACCGAUCAUACGGAGCCCAAGGCUUGCUGCCUAUGCCAGAUGCUCCUUUCUUUGGAACUACUAGUUAGUCUUGCCUAUGAAAAUAGAAUAGUAAAACAAGGUUCCUGGAGACCGUGAAAAACUUUCAUCUGAUGGGCAUAUCUCUGUAUAGAAACCGGGACUUUCCCCUGUUGGGUGGGGAACAUCUCAAUUGAAAUCGGG
Molecule: long non-coding RNA, 253 nt
Filed under: Actinidia chinensis (golden kiwifruit)
Lineage: Eukaryota; Viridiplantae; Streptophyta; Magnoliopsida; Ericales; Actinidiaceae
Description: long non-coding RNA (ACHI_LNC003302)
Source: RNAcentral